GAAAUGCGAUAAGUAAUGUGAAUUGCAGAAUUCAGUGAAUCAUCGAAUCUUUGAACGCACCUUGCGCUCCUUGGUAUUCCUUGGAGCAUGCCUGUUUGAGUAUCAUGAAAUCUUCAAAGUAAAUCUUUUGUUAACUAAUUGGUUUCUACUUUGGUAUUGGAGGUCUUUGCAGCUUCACACCUGCUCCUCUUUGUUCAUUAGCUGGAUCUCAGUGUUAUGCUUGGUUCCACUCGGCGUGAUAAGUUAUCUAUCGCUGAGGACACUGUAAAAGGUGGCCAAGGUAAAUGCAGAUGAACCGCUUCUAAUAGUCCAUUGACUUGGACAAUACUUUUAUGAUCUGAUCUCAAAUCAGGUAGGACUACCCGCUGAACUUAAGC
Molecule: unclassified non-coding RNA, 377 nt
Filed under: plant metagenome
Description: partial contains 5.8S ribosomal RNA, internal transcribed spacer 2, and large subunit ribosomal RNA
Rfam family: 5.8S ribosomal RNA (bases 1-105)
Source: RNAcentral